This 260-nucleotide ribosomal RNA is filed under the name uncultured bacterium. RNAcentral describes it as "partial 16S ribosomal RNA". It matches the Rfam family "Bacterial small subunit ribosomal RNA", at positions 335 to 613 of the family's 1533-position model. The record is from RNAcentral.
UGCCUACGGGGGGCAGCAGUGGGGAAUAUUGCACAAUGGGGGAAACCCUGAUGCAGCAACGCCGCGUGAGUGAAGAAGUAUUUCGAUAUGUAAAGCUCUAUCCGCAGGGAAGAAGAUGACGGUACCUGAGUAAGAAGCCCCGGCUAACUACGUGCCAGCAGCCGCGGUAAUACGUAGGGGGCAAGCGUUAUCCGGAUUUACUGGGUGUAAAGGGAGCGUAGACGGCAUAGCAAGUCUGAAGUGAAAGCCCAAGGCUCAAC